This 215-nucleotide ribosomal RNA is filed under the name uncultured Glomeromycotina. RNAcentral's name for it is "partial small subunit ribosomal RNA". The stretch from base 38 to 215 matches the Rfam family "Eukaryotic small subunit ribosomal RNA", at positions 685 to 864 of the family's 1831-position model. The record is from RNAcentral. Lineage: Eukaryota; Fungi; Glomeromycota.
GGACCAUCAUGUCGGUCGUGCCUCGGUACGUACUGGCAUUGUUGGUUUCUCCCUUCUGAUGAACCAUGAUGCCAUUAAUUUGGUGUCGUGGGGAAUCAGGACUGUUACUUUGAAAAAAUUAGAGUGUUUAAAGCAGGCUCACGCUUGAAUACAUUAGCAUGGAAUAAUGAAAUAGGACGUUUGAUCUUAUUUUGUUGGUUUCUAAGAUCGACGUA